CAUAUAUAGAGCUCGGGAGAAGGUUGACACUUGCACCCAAAUCUAAUAAUGCCUUCUUAAUCAUGAGGUUCCCUAUGACACAAGAAAUAAUUGGGGUACCUGGAUCUUUCAGUUUGGAUGGGGUAAUUUGCUGGAAAACUGAGCUGGCCUGCUCAGUUAGGUGGACUUUUCUUAGUAUUUGUGCCUUUGAUUUUCAUUUCUGUGUAUACAGGUCCUUUAGAAAUUUGGCAU
RNAcentral lists this long non-coding RNA (231 nucleotides) under Elaeis guineensis (African oil palm). Its description in RNAcentral is "long non-coding RNA (EGUI_LNC074171)". The record is from RNAcentral. Lineage: Eukaryota; Viridiplantae; Streptophyta; Magnoliopsida; Arecales; Arecaceae.